AGAGUUUGAUCAUGGCUCAGGACGAACGCUGGCGGCGUGCUUAACACAUGCAAGUCGAGCGAGGCUCUCCCUUCGGGGAGAUGUCCUAGCGGCGAACGGGUGAGUAACACGUAAGCAACCUGCCUCAAAGACCGGGACAACAUUCCGAAAGGAGUGCUAAUACCGGAUGUGGCCACCGAUAUGCAUGUAUUGGUGAUUAAAUCGAGCAAUCGGCUUUGAGAGGGGCUUGCGGCCUAUCAGCUAGUUGGUGGGGUAACGGCCUACCAAGGCGACGACGGGUAGCUGGUCUGAGAGGAUGUCCAGCCGGACUGGGACUGAGAUACGGCCCAGACUCCUACGGGGGGCAGCAAUUAGGAAUCUUGCGCAAUGGGCGAAAGCCUGACGCAGCGACGCCGCGUGGGGGAGGAAGGCCUUCGGGUUGUAAACCCCUUUUAUCAGGGAAGAACAAAAUGACGGUACCUGAUGAAUAAGCCACGGCUAACUCCGUGCCAGCAGCCGCGGUAAUACGGAGGUGGCGAGCGUUGUCCGAAGUUACUGGGCGUAAAGCGCGCGUAGGCGGGUUGUUAAGUGAGGGGUGAAAGGCUGAGGCUCAACCUCAUGUUUGUCCUCUCAUACUGGCAAUCUUGAGUGAGGCAGGGAGAAGUGGAAUGGCUGGUGUAGCGGUGAAAUGCGUAGAUAUCAGUCGGAACACCGGUGGCGAAGGCGGCUUCUUGGGCCUUUACUGACGCUGAGGCGCGAAAGCUGGGGGAGCGAACGGGAUUAGAUACCCUCGUAGUCC
Molecule: ribosomal RNA, 778 nt
Filed under: uncultured soil bacterium
Lineage: Bacteria
Description: bacterial SSU rRNA
Rfam family: Bacterial small subunit ribosomal RNA
Source: RNAcentral